GUGUUGAGAGCAGACCAGUCAUUUCCAUAGAGGAGGCUUUGCAUCAUCAGCUGAUCCUCCAGUGAACUCACAAGGUUUAUAGUGGUGUGAGUUCAACACUGCAGGACUCACAUGUGUCAGUCAACACAGCAGGAAGCACAAGCAGCAUGACUCUCAUCACCAUCCUCAUCUGGACGCUGCUCUGCUGCUGCUUUACAGGAUGCAGUGGUCAGGUGACGGUGACUCAGCCUCCAGUGGAGACGUUCACUGCAGGAUCCACUGUGACGCUCACCUGUAAAACCAACCCAGCUGUUUAUAGGUGGAGUGAUGGUGAUGAGGGUAUGUUCUGGUACCAACAGAAACCUGGACAGAGCCCAAAGCUCCUGAUCUAUUUUGUAAAAAAGCUGCAUUCAGGGACACCAGGUCGGUUUAGUGGCAGUGGAAGCGGCUCUGACUUCACUUUGACCAUCAGAGGAGUUCAGGCUGAAGAUGCUGCAGUUUAUUACUGUCAGAGUCUUCAUAGUGGUGGAGUGUGGACGUUUGGUGGAGGAACCAAACUCAUCGUUGACUUGGGUGUGGUGCCGCCCACCCUGAGCGUCCUGCCUCCCUCCACACAGGAGCUGGAGCGGGGCAGUGCCACAGUGGUGUGUGUGUCCAGUGGGGGCUUCCCCUCCACCUGGAGUCUGGCCUGGAAGGUGGGGGGCAGCAGCUCCUCAGGGGGGUCGCACAGCCCAGAGGUCCUGGGGACGGACGGCCGCUACGGCAGGAGCAGCACCCUGAGCCUGUCUGCAGAGCAGUGGAGGAAGGCGGGCUCAGUGAGCUGUGAGGCCAGUCUGACUGGACAGAGCCCUGUCACUCAAAGCCUCAACCCUGACCUCUGCUCUGAAACAACAGCCACUCAGUGCUGAGGCCAAAUGUGCCUUUACACACAGGUCACACAUGAUCAGUGUGAUGUGAUCUAAGGUUAUUCAGCAGUUUGUGUGUCUUCACAGCUUUUACACAUUGUUACAGUCACAUGUUGGACUUUUGUGCUUCUGCAAAACAAAUAAAUAUUUGAUGCUCUCGUGUCGUA
This is a non-coding RNA of Betta splendens (Siamese fighting fish), 1051 nucleotides long. Lineage: Eukaryota; Metazoa; Chordata; Actinopteri; Anabantiformes; Osphronemidae. The record is from the annotation of a RefSeq genome assembly.